RNAcentral lists this ribosomal RNA (433 nucleotides) under uncultured bacterium. RNAcentral's name for it is "partial 16S ribosomal RNA". It matches the Rfam family "Bacterial small subunit ribosomal RNA", at positions 29 to 507 of the family's 1533-position model. The record is from RNAcentral.
AGCGAACGCUGGCGGCAGGCCUAACACAUGCAAGUCGAACGAACUCUUCGGAGUUAGUGGCGGACGGGUGAGUAACACGUGGGAACGUGCCUUUAGGUUCGGAAUAACUCAGGGAAAUUUGAGCUAAUACCGGAUGUGCCCUUCGGGGGAAAGAUUUAUCGCCUUUAGAGCGGCCCGCGUCUGAUUAGCUAGUUGGUGAGGUAAAGGCUCACCAAGGCGACGAUCAGUAGCUGGUCUGAGAGGAUGAUCAGCCACAUUGGGACUGAGACACGGCCCAAACUCCUACGGGAGGCAGCAGUGGGGAAUCUUGCGCAAUGGGCGAAAGCCUGACGCAGCCAUGCCGCGUGAAUGAUGAAGGUCUUAGGAUUGUAAAAUUCUUUCACCGGGGACGAUAAUGACGGUACCCGGAGAAGAAGCCCCGGCUAACUUCGUG